This 500-nucleotide ribosomal RNA is filed under the name uncultured bacterium. RNAcentral describes it as "partial 16S ribosomal RNA". It matches the Rfam family "Bacterial small subunit ribosomal RNA", at positions 30 to 523 of the family's 1533-position model. The record is from RNAcentral.
AUUGAACGCUGGCGGAAUGCUUUUCACAUGCAAGUCGAACGGCAGCACGGGGGCAACCCUGGUGGCGAGUGGCGAACGGGUGAGUAAUACAUCGGAACGUGCCCAGUCGUGGGGGAUAACGUAGCGAAAGUUACGCUAAUACCGCAUACGAUCUACGGAUGAAAGCGGGGGACCGUAAGGCCUCGCGCGAUUGGAGCGGCCGAUGUCAGAUUAGGUAGUUGGUGAGGUAAAGGCGCACCAAGCCGACGAUCUGUAGCUGGUCUGAGAGGACGACCAGCCACACUGGGACUGAGACACGGCCCAGACUCCUACGGGAGGCAGCAGUGGGGAAUUUUGGACAAUGGGCGCAAGCCUGAUCCAGCCAUUCCGCGUGCAGGAUGAAGGCCCUCGGGUUGUAAACUGCUUUUGUACAGAACGAAAAGGUUUCUACUAAUACUAGGAGCUCAUGACGGUACUGUAAGAAUAAGCACCGGCUAACUACGUGCCAGCCGCCGCGGUAA